RNAcentral lists this ribosomal RNA (253 nucleotides) under uncultured bacterium. RNAcentral's name for it is "partial 16S ribosomal RNA". It matches the Rfam family "Bacterial small subunit ribosomal RNA", at positions 524 to 776 of the family's 1533-position model. The record is from RNAcentral.
UACGUAGGGUGCAAGCGUUGUCCGGAAUUAUUGGGCGUAAAGAGCUCGUAGGCGGUUUGUCACGUCGGCUGUGAAAACCUAGGGCUCAACCCUGGGCCUGCAGCCGAUACGGGCAAACUAGAAUUCGGUAGGGGAGACUGGAAUUCCUGGUGUAGCGGUGAAAUGCGCAGAUAUCAGGAGGAACACCGAUGGCGAAGGCAGGUCUCUGGGCCACUACUGACGCUGAGAAGCGAAAGCAUGGGGAGCGAACAGG